CAUCAGGACCGUGAUGUAUAGAUAUAUGGGAACUGUAGUGGAUGCAGUACAGGAAAAUUAACUGAAGGGAUCUCCUGCCAUUGUAAAGGCAGAUGGAGGUAAUAAAAGCCAUCCUUGGGAAAGGAAUGCCUGGAAAACAAUAUGGCAGGCUGGAUGGAUGAAGUAUCCACACAGAAAUUCUUGGAAGAAAAUCAGAGAGAAAUCACGGCAAGUAUGGAUGAAAUCAGUCAACAUUUUUCUCAACUAAAUUUUUUCAUUCCAUGAAAAACCACUGCCCGUGUACAUGAAGGCUGAAUGGACUCAUUCAGUGAGUGUGUCUGAACUAAAGACUUUUUCAGAAAUAGAGUUCUCUUCUGAAUCUGUGCCUUUUGGGCACGGAAUCAGUGGCAUCGUAGAUUCCAUGCCAUAUUCCAUUUUUUCCUAGCUGCUUAAUAUGAGUCUCUGUAUAACUGUAGUAGCAGGAUGAGAGGGAAGAAUAGACAAGGCAUUACAGGGGAGUUGGUGGGCAUUUUAAUUUUUCCAUUUUUAAGUGUAAAAUUCUAAGUAAGGGCAGGAAUGAAGUUUAUAUAUGUAUUUUUGAUGGGAGGACAUAGGCAAAGCAGGAUGUAUUUCUUUAGUAACAAUGUAAUUUAAUGCCACAAUAAAUAAGACCCAACAUCUCG
This is a long non-coding RNA of Calidris pugnax (ruff), 662 nucleotides long. RefSeq lists it as uncharacterized. Lineage: Eukaryota; Metazoa; Chordata; Aves; Charadriiformes; Scolopacidae. The record is from RefSeq and is a predicted model, not a curated record. The transcript is spliced from 2 exons.